Molecule: ribosomal RNA, 253 nt
Filed under: uncultured bacterium
Lineage: Bacteria
Description: partial 16S ribosomal RNA
Rfam family: Bacterial small subunit ribosomal RNA
Source: RNAcentral
CACGUAGGGGACGAGCGUUGUCCGGAUUUAUUGGGCGUAAAGCGCGCGUAGGCGGCCCGGUAAGUCGGUUGUGAAAACCCGGGGCUCAACCCCGGGCCUGCAUCCGAAACUUCCGGGCUGGAGGUAGGUAGGGGAGAUCGGAAUUCCUGGUGUAGCGGUGAAAUGCGCAGAUAUCAGGAGGAACACCGGUGGCGAAGGCGGAUCUCUGGGCCGUACCUGACGCUGAGGCGCGAAAGCUAGGGGAGCGAACAGG